Molecule: ribosomal RNA, 451 nt
Filed under: uncultured bacterium
Lineage: Bacteria
Description: bacterial SSU rRNA
Rfam family: Bacterial small subunit ribosomal RNA
Source: RNAcentral
AGAGUUUGAUCCUGGCUCAGGGUGAAUGCUAGCGGUGCGCCUAACACAUGCAAGUCGAGCGGGAUUAUAAGAUAACUUGCUAUUUUAUAUGAGAGCGGCGAACGGGUGAGUAAUAUGUUGGAAUCUGCCCCCAAGUCAGGGAUAGCCCACCGAAAGGUGGAUUAAUACCGGAUGUGCUCUUCGGAGUAAAGAUUUAUCGCUUGGGGAGGAGCCUUCAUUCUAUCAGCUAGUUGGUGAGGUAAAAGCUUACCAAGGCUAUGACGGAUAGCUGGUCUGAGAGGAUGAUCAGCCACAAUGGAACUGAGACACGGUCCAUACUCUUACGGGAGGCAGCAGUGAGGAAUCUUCCGCAAUGGGCGAAAGCCUGACGGAGCGACACCGCGUGAAGGAUGAAGGUCUAACGACUGUAAACUUCUUUUCUGGAGGAGCAUAAUGAGAGUACUCAGAAUAG